RNAcentral lists this ribosomal RNA (497 nucleotides) under uncultured bacterium. Its description in RNAcentral is "partial 16S ribosomal RNA". It matches the Rfam family "Bacterial small subunit ribosomal RNA", at positions 28 to 507 of the family's 1533-position model. The record is from RNAcentral.
GAUGAACGCUGGCGGCGUGCCUAACACAUGCAAGUCGAGCGAACGGACGAGAAGUUGGCUUUUCUGAUGUUAGCGGCGGACGGGUGAGUAACAUCUGGAUAACCUAUCUAUAAGACUGGGAUAACGUCGGGAAACCGGUGCUAAUACCGGCUAAUAUCUUGAACCGCAGGGUGCAAAAGUGACAGACGGUCUUGCGGUCACUUAUAGAUGGAUCCGCGCUGCAUUAGCUAGUUGGUAAGGUAACGGCUUACCAAGGCAACGAUGCAUAGCCGGACUGAGAGGAUGACCGGCCACACUGGAACUGAGACACGGCCCAGACUCCUACGGGAGGCAGCAGUAGGGAAUCUUGCGCAAUGGGCGAAAGCCUGACGGAGCAACGCCGCGUGAGUGAUGAAGGUCUUCGGAUCGUAAAACUCUUUUAUUAGGGAAGAACAUAUUUGUACGUAACUGGGCACAUCUUGACGGUACCUAAUCAGAAAGCCCCGGCUAACUACGUG